This is a long non-coding RNA of Strigops habroptila (Kakapo), 1136 nucleotides long. RefSeq lists it as uncharacterized. Lineage: Eukaryota; Metazoa; Chordata; Aves; Psittaciformes; Psittacidae. The record is from RefSeq and is a predicted model, not a curated record. The transcript has 4 exons.
ACCGCUCUGAUUGGCUAACCGCCACAUGCGCAGCCCCUCUCUGUACCACGUGCAGUACCGAUUUUUGGCCACAUGGUGGCAGCAGCGAUCUGCUGCCGGCGCCUCAUCGCCGCUCUCCCACGUGCCGUGUCGCGAUUUGGACGUAGGAGAGCACGGAAAAGCGGCGGCCAGGUUUAGAGCUUGGUGUUUGGAGCGAUAUCAUUGUCUCGGUUCCCUGGUGGUGUCAAUAAAUUGGUUUGAAUUGCAACACAGUAUUGCUUCACUAGAGACCUGAACAGUGUUCAGAGCUUCUGUGACAUUAAAGGUUGUUGCUUGGAUAUCUCUGUGAAUCGUAUUUUGGGGACAAAAGUUCUUGUGUGGAAAACACCAGCACACUGAAUCUCACGAGUUCUUCUGUGCAAGGCCUGAAUAGCGCAUGUGUAGGAAGAACACCCCUCUCUUCUAGCAGAUCUGUUUGCGGAAGCCAUACCCCUCUUAUGGGAUAUUCAGGUAAGAUUAACAGCUAUUAAAGGAAAUAGUCCUACUUACAUUUCUUACAUUAUUUUAUUAAGCACACUUUAUUUUUUAAUAUGAUCCAGUAAGAUACUGAAAUAGAUUCAAAACACAAAACAUAAUGUGUUUUGUACUACAGAGGAUGCUUGCCAAUGCAAGAUGCACCCAUAGGGGAAAAUACUACAUUAGAUAGUCGAGUAGAUGUUUUGGUAUUGCAACCUCUUGUCACUUACUCUGCAUUCAUGUAUAAAUUACCACCGUAGUUAGAAUUCAAGCUUUUUUCAGAUUGUCCAAAAUUUUUGUGGCCAUGUUGGUUUGUGUGGUGGCUGAAGAUCCCAAAUGUAUGCACAUUGCUAAUCAAGGUUUCUUCUUAGGCUUGUAAAUGCUUUGUAUAUGGUAUAUCAUGAUGUCAUUCUCAAGUCUCUUCAUGCAAGUUUUGCGUGGUUUAUGUUGGUAUCUUCAAAGGUAUAGAACACUAGAUCUUCAGAGGAACGCUCACAUACUGGGUAUGAGCUAUUUAUGAACAAAGUUGUGUUACAGGUUAAUGAUGCCUUGUGCCACGUUAUGUGUAUCUCUGUGCACAGGUAGCGCAGAAGUAAUGGGAUUUGAAGUUCUUUCACUGUCUGAUUAAUCAUCAGUUCAGU